AACGAACGCUGGCGGCAUGCCUAACACAUGCAAGUCGAACGAGACCUUCGGGUCUAGCGGCGCACGGGUGCGUAACGCGUGGGAAUCUGCCCUUGGGUUCGGAAUAACAGUUGGAAACGACUGCUAAUACCGGAUGAUGACGUAAGUCCAAAGAUUUAUCGCCCAAGGAUGAGCCCGCGUAGGAUUAGCUAGUUGGUGAGGUAAAGGCUCACCAAGGCGACGAUCCUUAGCUGGUCUGAGAGGAUGAUCAGCCACACUGGGACUGAGACACGGCCCAGACUCCUACGGGAGGCAGCAGUGGAGAAUAUUGGACAAUGGGCGAAAGCCUGAUCCAGCAAUGCCGCGUGAGUGAUGAAGGCCUUAGGGUUGUAAAGCUCUUUUACCCGAGAUGAUAAUGACAGUACCGGGAGAAUAAGCUCCGGCUAACUCCGUG
This 433-nucleotide ribosomal RNA is filed under the name uncultured bacterium. RNAcentral describes it as "partial 16S ribosomal RNA". It matches the Rfam family "Bacterial small subunit ribosomal RNA", at positions 29 to 507 of the family's 1533-position model. The record is from RNAcentral.